UGCAGCAUUACCAAGAGACUGAGCAGAGUUGUAUCAGAGUCACCUCUUUCAUCUGCAAAGGGUGCUUUGUGCGGUCGUGGACAGGAAAGGGAAAUCCUCGUGUCGCGGAGCAGUGAGGGAGGUAGAGCGUAAACCUUUGGAGGAAGCUGUCACAGGAAAGAGCUCCUUCUGGAACUGUUCAGCACUCGGGAGGCAACUGGGUGACUGGCUUGAUCUACUUCUGAGGUGCUGAGGCAAGGAGGCUGCUGUUUUGAAACGAUAGUAUUCUGAAACACAGUGUACGACACGGGACUUGACGACCAGAGCUGCUUUUGGCAAGGUGAGUGAUGAACAGAUAUAGAAGGUAAUUUAGGGGUGCAGUUGUCACUGCAGUUACUGAACUACACAAAGUACAGUAAAAAUCCUGUUUAUAUUUCAGGGGUGUUGUAGCUGGCCUAAGAGAGCAGAUGGAA
Anas platyrhynchos (mallard) is the source of this 452-nucleotide non-coding RNA. The record is from RefSeq and is a predicted model, not a curated record. Lineage: Eukaryota; Metazoa; Chordata; Aves; Anseriformes; Anatidae.